AUUUAAAAAGAAAAUAUGCUGGAAUGAUUAAAAAUACCUAACUUAUUUUUAUUUUCCUUAGCUUUUAUGUCUAGGAUUUCUUCUGCCAUGAGAAUUGGAAGAAUGACUUUUUUUUCCCUGAGAAAAACCUUUCUGAUGCAGCAAAACCAAAAUGUUCACAUGCCAAUGUGUGUGUUCCUCCACACUGUCCAGAAGGUACUAAAGGGAGAGUACAUGAGAGGAUGUGUGGUGUCCCCUGAAAGGACUUACAUCCUGCUUGGGCUUCCCAGACACCUUACCUUGACAAUCCCACAAGGUUUAUCACACAA
This 308-nucleotide long non-coding RNA is filed under the name Zonotrichia albicollis (white-throated sparrow). RNAcentral's name for it is "lncRNA (ENSZALG00000007207.1)". The record is from RNAcentral. Lineage: Eukaryota; Metazoa; Chordata; Aves; Passeriformes; Passerellidae.